This 107-nucleotide small nuclear RNA is filed under the name Cathartes aura (turkey vulture). The record is from RNAcentral. Lineage: Eukaryota; Metazoa; Chordata; Aves; Accipitriformes; Cathartidae.
GUGCUCGCUUUGGCAGCACAUAUACUAAAAUUGGAACAAUACAGAGAAGAUUAGCAUGGCUCCUGUGCAAGGGUGACAUGCAAACUCAUGAAGCGUUCCACAUUUUU